Odocoileus virginianus texanus is the source of this 470-nucleotide long non-coding RNA. RefSeq lists it as uncharacterized. Lineage: Eukaryota; Metazoa; Chordata; Mammalia; Artiodactyla; Cervidae. The record is from RefSeq and is a predicted model, not a curated record.
GGGACGUCGCGACUGCGCUCCGCUGUGGUCCCGGCCCCGCGUGUGUGGCCGGGCUCCACUCGAGGCUGCACUCAGUGACCCCGGCGAUUGGCGUGGAGAGCACGUAGCAAGAGUCACACCCCCAGCCUAGACCCUGGAGCCGAGCUGGGACGUGGACGCCUCCUCGGCGGGCUUCGCAGGCGCAGCGACCACUAGCUGCACACCCGUGCUGGCUGCAGAUGGCAGGAAGCGUCAUCUGGGGGAGCUGAGUCCCCUGAGCCUUCUCAUCUCCAAGUGCCCAUGUCAACCUUCGCGGCUGGGAGCUCGCCUUCUGACUCAGGCGGUCCUUCAUUUUCUCCAACACCCCCACUAGUCCACCGUCAUAUGCAUUGCGGGUGCUCAGCAGCUUUGGUGUUUGUUGACUGACUAUAAAGACUUGUUCCUACCCCAUCUCAAUUCCUAGAGCUUUCCAUAAACUCUGGAGUGGCUCA